ACAUCGGUGCAGGUGGUGGCAUGGUUGUCGUCAGCUCGUGUCGUGAGAUGUUGGGUUAAGUCCCGCAACGAGCGCAACCCCUAUUGUUAGUUGCUAUCAUUCAGUUGGGCACUCUAGCGAGACUGCCGGUAAUAAACCGGAGGAAGGUGGGGAUGACGUCAAAUCAUCAUGCCCCUUAUGACCUGGGCUACACACGUGCUACAAUGGUUGGUACAACGAGUUGCGAGUCGGUGACGGCGAGCUAAUCUCUUAAAGCCAAUCUCAGUUCGGAUUGUAGGCUGCAACUCGCCUACAUGAAGUCGGAAUCGCUAGUAAUCGCGGAUCAGCACGCCGCGGUGAAUACGUUCCCGGGCCUU
This 356-nucleotide ribosomal RNA is filed under the name uncultured Streptococcus sp. RNAcentral describes it as "bacterial SSU rRNA". It matches the Rfam family "Bacterial small subunit ribosomal RNA", at positions 1026 to 1382 of the family's 1533-position model. Lineage: Bacteria; Bacillati; Bacillota; Bacilli; Lactobacillales; Streptococcaceae. The record is from RNAcentral.